UCUCUUCUUUCGACUUUCUUCCUCUAGUACUCUCUUGUAUACUUCUGAUGUACCUGGGUGCAUCCCUUUUCUUUUUUGGCACUUGUCAUGAUUUCGUUACUUGCCUAUAUGAAAGGACAAGUUUUUUAUUCUGAAUAGGCCUAUGCCAUUUUCACUGUACUAGCCUAUGCCAUUUUCACUGUACUAUCUCUAGAAUUGCCCUAUUUCUGAUAUUUCAUAACCUUUUAGCAUCAUUGCUUCUAUUUCUAUAAGAAACAUGGGACAGAGGGAAUAAUUAGCUAGAUAUAGCUUAUGGAAGAAACCAGAGGUGAAUGACUG
Molecule: unclassified non-coding RNA, 318 nt
Filed under: Hevea brasiliensis (rubber tree)
Lineage: Eukaryota; Viridiplantae; Streptophyta; Magnoliopsida; Malpighiales; Euphorbiaceae
Source: RNAcentral